GGGCUGUUGUUAUUUCAUCGUUACGUAUGCUUUGUUUUGAUUCGAUCCCUUCUCUCUGUUCCCUUCUCUCUCUCUCUCUCUCUGCCUCUCUCUCUGUUCCUCUC
Alosa sapidissima (American shad) is the source of this 104-nucleotide long non-coding RNA. RefSeq lists it as uncharacterized. Lineage: Eukaryota; Metazoa; Chordata; Actinopteri; Clupeiformes; Clupeidae. The transcript is spliced from 3 exons. The record is from RefSeq and is a predicted model, not a curated record.